Molecule: ribosomal RNA, 554 nt
Filed under: uncultured bacterium
Lineage: Bacteria
Description: partial 16S ribosomal RNA
Rfam family: Bacterial small subunit ribosomal RNA
Source: RNAcentral
UAGGGAAUCUUCCACAAUGGACGCAAGUCUGAUGGAGCAACGCCGCGUGAGUGAAGAAGGUCUUCGGAUCGUAAAGCUCUGUUGUUGGUGAAGAAGGAUAGAGGCAGUAACUGGUCUUUAUUUGACGGUAAUCAACCAGAAAGUCACGGCUAACUACGUGCCAGCAGCCGCGGUAAUACGUAGGUGGCAAGCGUUGUCCGGAUUUAUUGGGCGUAAAGCGAGCGCAGGCGGAAUGAUAAGUCUGAUGUGAAAGCCCACGGCUCAACCGUGGAACUGCAUCGGAAACUGUCAUUCUUGAGUGCAGAAGAGGAGAGUGGAACUCCAUGUGUAGCGGUGGAAUGCGUAGAUAUAUGGAAGAACACCAGUGGCGAAGGCGGCUCUCUGGUCUGCAACUGAUGCUGAGGCUCGAAAGCAUGGGUAGCGAACAGGAUUAGAUACCCUGGUAGUCCAUGCCGUAAACGAUGAGCGCUAGGUGUUGGGGACUUUCCGGUCCUCAGUGCCGCAGCAAACGCAUUAAGCGCUCCGCCUGGGGAGUACGACCGCAAGGUUGAAAC